This 2929-nucleotide ribosomal RNA is filed under the name Bacillus thuringiensis. RNAcentral's name for it is "23S ribosomal RNA". It matches the Rfam family "Bacterial large subunit ribosomal RNA". The record is from RNAcentral. Lineage: Bacteria; Bacillati; Bacillota; Bacilli; Caryophanales; Bacillaceae.
UUUGGUUAAGUUAGAAAGGGCGCACGGUGGAUGCCUUGACACUAGGAGUCGAUGAAGGACGGGACUAACGCCGAUAUGCUUCGGGGAGCUGUAAGUAAGCUUUGAUCCGAAGAUUUCCAAAUGGGGAAACCCACCAUACGUAAUGGUAUGGUAUCCUUAUCUGAAUACAUAGGGUAAGGAAGACAGACCCAGGGAACUGAAACAUCUAAGUACCUGGAGGAAGAGAAAGCAAAUGCGAUUUCCUGAGUAGCGGCGAGCGAAACGGAACAUAGCCCAAACCAAGAGGCUUGCCUCUUGGGGUUGUAGGACAUUCUAUACGGAGUUACAAAGGAACGAGGUAGACGAAGCGACCUGGAAAGGUCCGUCGUAGAGGGUAACAACCCCGUAGUCGAAACUUCGUUCUCUCUUGAAUGUAUCCUGAGUACGGCGGAACACGUGAAAUUCCGUCGGAAUCUGGGAGGACCAUCUCCCAAGGCUAAAUACUCCCUAGUGAUCGAUAGUGAACCAGUACCGUGAGGGAAAGGUGAAAAGCACCCCGGAAGGGGAGUGAAAGAGAUCCUGAAACCGUGUGCCUACAAAUAGUCAGAGCCCGUUAACGGGUGAUGGCGUGCCUUUUGUAGAAUGAACCGGCGAGUUACGAUCCCGUGCGAGGUUAAGCUGAAGAGGCGGAGCCGCAGCGAAAGCGAGUCUGAAUAGGGCGUUUAGUACGUGGUCGUAGACCCGAAACCAGGUGAUCUACCCAUGUCCAGGGUGAAGUUCAGGUAACACUGAAUGGAGGCCCGAACCCACGCACGUUGAAAAGUGCGGGGAUGAGGUGUGGGUAGCGGAGAAAUUCCAAUCGAACCUGGAGAUAGCUGGUUCUCCCCGAAAUAGCUUUAGGGCUAGCCUUAAGUGUAAGAGUCUUGGAGGUAGAGCACUGAUUGGACUAGGGGUCCUCAUCGGAUUACCGAAUUCAGUCAAACUCCGAAUGCCAAUGACUUAUCCUUAGGAGUCAGACUGCGAGUGAUAAGAUCCGUAGUCAAAAGGGAAACAGCCCAGACCGCCAGCUAAGGUCCCAAAGUGUGUAUUAAGUGGAAAAGGAUGUGGAGUUGCUUAGACAACUAGGAUGUUGGCUUAGAAGCAGCCACCAUUUAAAGAGUGCGUAAUAGCUCACUAGUCGAGUGACUCUGCGCCGAAAAUGUACCGGGGCUAAAUACACCACCGAAGCUGCGGAUUGAUACCAAUGGUAUCAGUGGUAGGGGAGCGUUCUAAGGACAGUGAAGUCAGACCGGAAGGACUGGUGGAGUGCUUAGAAGUGAGAAUGCCGGUAUGAGUAGCGAAAGACGGGUGAGAAUCCCGUCCACCGAAUGCCUAAGGUUUCCUGAGGAAGGCUCGUCCGCUCAGGGUUAGUCAGGACCUAAGCCGAGGCCGACAGGCGUAGGCGAUGGACAACAGGUUGAUAUUCCUGUACCACCUCUUUAUCGUUUGAGCAAUGGAGGGACGCAGAAGGAUAGAAGAAGCGUGCGAUUGGUUGUGCACGUCCAAGCAGUUAGGCUGAUAAGUAGGCAAAUCCGCUUAUCGUGAAGGCUGAGCUGUGAUGGGGAAGCUCCUUAUGGAGCGAAGUCUUUGAUUCCCCGCUGCCAAGAAAAGCUUCUAGCGAGAUAAAAGGUGCCUGUACCGCAAACCGACACAGGUAGGCGAGGAGAGAAUCCUAAGGUGUGCGAGAGAACUCUGGUUAAGGAACUCGGCAAAAUGACCCCGUAACUUCGGGAGAAGGGGUGCUUUCUUAACGGAAAGCCGCAGUGAAUAGGCCCAAGCGACUGUUUAGCAAAAACACAGCUCUCUGCGAAGCCGUAAGGCGAAGUAUAGGGGGUGACACCUGCCCGGUGCUGGAAGGUUAAGGAGAGGGGUUAGCGUAAGCGAAGCUCUGAACUGAAGCCCCAGUAAACGGCGGCCGUAACUAUAACGGUCCUAAGGUAGCGAAAUUCCUUGUCGGGUAAGUUCCGACCCGCACGAAAGGUGUAACGAUUUGGGCACUGUCUCAACCAGAGACUCGGUGAAAUUAUAGUACCUGUGAAGAUGCAGGUUACCCGCGACAGGACGGAAAGACCCCGUGGAGCUUUACUGUAGCCUGAUAUUGAAUUUUGGUACAGUUUGUACAGGAUAGGCGGGAGCCUUUGAAACCGGAGCGCUAGCUUCGGUGGAGGCGCUGGUGGGAUACCGCCCUGACUGUAUUGAAAUUCUAACCUACGGGUCUUAUCGACCCGGGAGACAGUGUCAGGUGGGCAGUUUGACUGGGGCGGUCGCCUCCUAAAGUGUAACGGAGGCGCCCAAAGGUUCCCUCAGAAUGGUUGGAAAUCAUUCGUAGAGUGCAAAGGCAUAAGGGAGCUUGACUGCGAGACCUACAAGUCGAGCAGGGACGAAAGUCGGGCUUAGUGAUCCGGUGGUUCCGCAUGGAAGGGCCAUCGCUCAACGGAUAAAAGCUACCCCGGGGAUAACAGGCUUAUCUCCCCCAAGAGUCCACAUCGACGGGGAGGUUUGGCACCUCGAUGUCGGCUCAUCGCAUCCUGGGGCUGUAGUCGGUCCCAAGGGUUGGGCUGUUCGCCCAUUAAAGCGGUACGCGAGCUGGGUUCAGAACGUCGUGAGACAGUUCGGUCCCUAUCCGUCGUGGGCGUAGGAAAUUUGAGAGGAGCUGUCCUUAGUACGAGAGGACCGGGAUGGACGCACCGCUGGUGUACCAGUUGUUCUGCCAAGGGCAUAGCUGGGUAGCUAUGUGCGGAAGGGAUAAGUGCUGAAAGCAUCUAAGCAUGAAGCCCCCCUCAAGAUGAGAUUUCCCAUAGCGUAAGCUAGUAAGAUCCCUGAAAGAUGAUCAGGUUGAUAGGUUCGAGGUGGAAGCAUGGUGACAUGUGGAGCUGACGAAUACUAAUAGAUCGAGGACUUAACCAUAUAA